UUAUCAUUAUUGUUAUCAUCAAAACACCUUUGAAUCACCUUUGAUUCACCAUGAAGCUUUGCUUCUACAACAGUAGAAUUAUUUUAGCAUUUGCCUCAGUAUGAAUAUGGAACUCAACUUCCUAAUCUUGAAUCGAAGUUUUUCCAAAUUGGUUCAGUACAUCUUACUGUAUUUGAGGUACUCUUUUUUGGAAAUAAUGCACAUGUCAUCUCUUUGUUGACCAGGACAGUUACAUAUUAGCAUAUGUGAAACAUACCAUUUUCUCUAUUAUUUGAUAGGAAAAUGUAAAGUAUGGACAUUUUGGGGUGAAAGGAAAAGAAAGAUAGAAAGGAAAAAAAAAGCAGAGAAAGAAGGUGAGACUUGAGAGAGAGAGAGAGAGAGAAAGGAAUGGAGGGAGAGAGAGAGAGAGAGAGAUGAAAGAGAAAGGAAUAUAUAUUUAUCAAAAUAUGACACAGGCAUGAUAUGAUAUUAUGAAGUGUUGGUUAAUAAGAAAGAAUUGUUUGUUUUCCUUUGACGGAGAACUUUGAAAGAGAGUUAUUCCUGUCUUAAUCGAAAGCUAGUUUCUACUUCCAUGUUUAGUUUCUCUGCAAAGCUUUUGUAUGAAUUUUGCAGAAGAGCAAGGUUUUGAAGUUUUUAGGAUUUAUGUGGAAUCCUCUUUCAUGGGUCAUGGAAGUUGCAGCAAUCAUGGCCAAUGCUUUGGCCAAUGGAGGAGUAAGUUGUAUACUUUUAAGUUUUAAACUUUUAAUUGUAUAUUUUGUUGAAAAUGUUUAUUUUGAUAUCUGUGUGAAUGCACAUAAUAGAAUAAUGACUUUCAGAAAUGGUUGUACAAGGUUCUUUUGACAUUAUGUUAUUGGUUUUGCCUAUUUCCUGAAUUUUUAUCUUCAUAUUCUUCAGGGAAAACUCCUUAUUGGCAAGACUUUGAUUCAUAUAGGAAAUAUAAAUAGAAUUAUGAUUAGCAUCACGAAAAGCACCAUUGAUUGAAUUCCUCCAAAAGAUGGGUGGGGAAGAAACGUGUUGCAUCUUCGGUGGACGCAAUUGAGCAAGAGAACCACAAUAUUAAAGGAGUGAGUUUGCUUCGAAGCAGAAUCUGUGAUCCCAAAUUCAUCUUCAUCAGUGAAUCUUGAGAAAGCAACUACAAGUCUCAACUUCUGAACUUCUUCUCGCACAAUUAACCUUUCUCUUUUUUGGUCAUAUUGCCCUUGCUUAAUUUGGUGACACGUGGAAGCUUUGUUGAUAUAUGGCAGCGAGAGAGCGAGAUUUUUGCUCUUUAGUUAUUGAGUGACAUCCAGAGAUACAAAGAUUUUUCCUAUGACAUCAACCCUAAGGAGUCCAUUGGAUGAAAAAUCCCAUUAUCGGGCUGCCGUUGAUCAUCCAAUUUAUCGCUGCCUUCAACAACGACAAAAACAUCAUACAACUUCCAACGUUCUACCAUACACAAUGGGCACCACAGUAUCACGAGUCUGUUCACCUGAGAUAUGAUGGAGUCAUUUACGAAAUACAGGUCAGACGACACAAAGAAAGAGUGUAUUUGGCAAAUGGACUCAAAAAUUUCAAGAAAGUUGAAAAUCUACGAGUCAACCACCAUUAACUUUUUUGCCUAUGACCAUCAGUGCGUAUUUGACAUACACUUCAUACCACCAUUGGAGCGGCAAACUUGUGGCAAGCAGAGGCAUUCAUCUAGAAAGCAUAUCUCGACUGUUCGGUUUACUCAGGAAAUGCUCAAUGCUCCUGAA
This is a long non-coding RNA of Glycine soja, 1733 nucleotides long. RefSeq lists it as uncharacterized. The transcript has 5 exons. The record is from RefSeq and is a predicted model, not a curated record. NCBI's taxonomy places the organism in Eukaryota, Viridiplantae, Streptophyta, Magnoliopsida, Fabales, Fabaceae.